AUUGAACGCUGGCGGCAUGCCUUACACAUGCAAGUCGAACGGCAGCACGGGAGCUUGCUCCUGGUGGCGAGUGGCGAACGGGUGAGUAAUACAUCGGAACGUACCCUGAAGUGGGGGAUAACGUAGCGAAAGUUACGCUAAUACCGCAUAUUCUGUGAGCAGGAAAGAGGGGGAUCGCAAGACCUCUUGCUUUAGGAGCGGCCGAUGUCGGAUUAGCUAGUUGGUGAGGUGAAGGCUCACCAAGGCGACGAUCCGUAGCGGGUCUGAGAGGAUGAUCCGCCACACUGGGACUGAGACACGGCCCAGACUCCUACGGGAGGCAGCAGUGGGGAAUUUUGGACAAUGGGCGCAAGCCUGAUCCAGCCAUGCCGCGUGAGUGAAGAAGGCCUCGGUUGUAAG
This 399-nucleotide ribosomal RNA is filed under the name uncultured bacterium. RNAcentral describes it as "bacterial SSU rRNA". It matches the Rfam family "Bacterial small subunit ribosomal RNA", at positions 30 to 429 of the family's 1533-position model. The record is from RNAcentral.